This is a non-coding RNA of Coturnix japonica (Japanese quail), 2065 nucleotides long. The record is from RefSeq and is a predicted model, not a curated record. NCBI's taxonomy places the organism in Eukaryota, Metazoa, Chordata, Aves, Galliformes, Phasianidae.
GAGAAGAGGCCAACACCCAUCUCACUACAGCAUCCUUUCAAGGAUCUGACAGCCUACACAAGGGAGCACACAGCAGGGAGACUGGAGCUCAGUGAUCCUUAAUGUCCCUUCUAACCUAAGCCCUUCUAUGAUAUCUUUGUUGCUGAUGUCGCUUAACUUUCAGUGUCUCAGAUCCCAACCUUGCUCCCUAAGGGGUGAAUUGCUGCCCACAGACUCUAGAUGGCCCACAGACCAACAAUUUCAUGUGCUUGAAACAAAGUCAUGGAAGCGCUUUAUCUGCCUGCAACCAUCCUGUUCUUGACAUCCUACACCAUCCAUGCUGCAAGAUACAGGAUAUCUUCUUGGUGGAGGCUCUCUGGGCUGAGAAGAACUCCUGGCUAUUCCUAUUUCAGGAGUAGGAAGCAAGUGUAGAAUAAGGAUUUGAAUGAAAACCUGGGAGCCUAACUCACCCUUGCAGACUAUGAGUGGUGGCAUUGUGCCAAGCAUAAGCUGGGUCCUUCCUGUUUAUUUUUGAAUCUGAAGGCCACCACGAUAAUGCCAGUUACUUAAAAGAAAAGUUUGUCUCCCCAUCCUGCUAAUUAACAGCCUCUGAGAGGCACCCAGAACCCAUCUCUGGGGCCUGGAGUGCUGCAAAAGCAUGUAAAGGUUAAUUGAAGGCAAUGGGAAAACAAGAAUUCAAACUUUAACCUUCUUGGUCUGCCCUUGUUAUGCUAACAGCAUGGUGCAGGCAGACUUAAUGACUGCUCAUUACCCUGCUACCUAAUUAACCUUCUGCUCUAAAACACAGAGAGCCCAAACAGGGAUCUUGCUGCCCAGAGCCCUUUCUGUCGGCAUCCCCACGGGUUAGGGAAGAUAUGGCAAAGUUCAGAUCUGCUUGGUCAGUGUCUCUUCAGCUUUUGUUAUAGGAAUUAAGUGGUUUUUCAUGAUACCACAUUCUGCAGUAGUGCACCUGAACACCUUGUUUUGCAUCAGCUCUCUUCUAGGAGCAGCUGGGAGCUUUGGGGCAAAAUAAGCAAAUGAGCCAAAGCAUCUCAGUGGGCCACAGCCAUGUGAUGGGAAGGAAAAAUACCAAAGCCAGAGUAUAAGUGAAAUAAUGUCACCCCAAGCCCUCCUUGAAAGUGCAGUGGUCUGUAAGGCUUAUCUCAGCUUUGUUGGCAGGGCAUGACAUCUUGCUUUGAUGUGUCAAUGAACUUGGAGAGAAGAAAGGACUUUUUGGAAUGCAUUAAUUCUUUCUCCAGAACACUUACCCUGAGUUUAACUUCUUUCAGAGCCGCUGCUUUGCUCAUAUCCUGCCUUGUCUGUGCAGAGAGAUAUGAGGUCAUUGGCACAGAUGGAUUUGGACUGCUCUAAGUCCUGGUGUCUGUACGAAGCUGCUUUUCUCUGGUGUCCUGUCAUGGCAUGGAUGUCUCUCAUAUCACAUAAUAAUUGAGACUGGAAGAGAUCUCUGGAGGCAAUCUGGUCCAGGCUCGUGCUCAGCCAGGGUCUCCUGGGUGGCUGCCCACAACCCAGUUUUAGCUAUAAGAGCACUGAAAUUUGCCUGGGAUUUGCACUUUCUCUAGCUGGAAGAGGAAUGACUAAUGCCUGGCCAAAGCCUGAGUGCCUUUCUCCAAGUGGGUGGCUGAACUUAGGAUCAACCUCCAUUACUGGGAGGGGAGGCUGACUCUCAUGAGGAGGAGUAUGCUACCUUCUGGCUAUUGGAGCUGCUAAGUGGGCUGAAAACAUCUGAUUUUUGACAAAGGAUCCCGAUGUUUCUGAAGUCCUGUGUGAGCUCACUGCUCUCUGAGCCACAAAGGGACAUGAAGUCAGAUCCCACUGCCCUUCCUGAGAGAUUACGGCUGAAAAUAAGGGGACGUGAGCAGACCCCAACCCUGGGACUCAUCCUGAAGGCCUUCAGAAGAACUGUUGAUUUUAAAAAGAAGAUGACGGGACGCUGAGGACGGAGCUGUGCCCCAUUCCCCUUUGCCCACACAAGCCAGGAAGAGGUUGCGACAAAAGCCCUGUCAGACCCCUCACCGCCGCUGCCCUGGCUCUGAGCACCCCCAUAUCUCCCCCCUCCCCACCCUCC